Molecule: long non-coding RNA, 334 nt
Filed under: Ananas comosus (pineapple)
Lineage: Eukaryota; Viridiplantae; Streptophyta; Magnoliopsida; Poales; Bromeliaceae
Description: long non-coding RNA (ACOM_LNC017869)
Source: RNAcentral
GCCAACCAGGACAUCUUAUCCGGGAGUGCCCGACAUGGACGUCGUCUGCGCCGACGGCGGCAUCAACACCGUCUACCUCGAGACAGCUUGCGGGGUUACCACCAGCGAUGUCGGCUGGGCGUGCGUCAUCACCGCGUCAGCCGGAGGGAUCGAGAGCGCCUAGCGGCCGAGUCUUUGCCGCUCAGGUAGAGGAGCAGCAACCUGCAGCACCCGACGACGUCGUAGCAGGUAUAAUUGUGAUUAAAGGCACUAGAGCUAGAGCAGUGUUUGAUACAGGUGCAUCUCAUUCAUUCAUUAGCACGUCAUUUGCUAAAAAUCAUGGCAUAUAGAUGGU